GGGUAUAUAGCUCAAGUGGUAGAGCACACGCUUAGCAUGCACAAGGUCUUGGGUUCAAUCCCCAAUACUGCCU
RNAcentral lists this transfer RNA (73 nucleotides) under Camelus bactrianus (Bactrian camel). It matches the Rfam family "tRNA". From Rfam's summary of the family: Transfer RNA (tRNA) molecules are approximately 80 nucleotides in length. Their secondary structure includes four short double-helical elements and three loops (D, anti-codon, and T loops). The record is from Rfam by way of RNAcentral. Lineage: Eukaryota; Metazoa; Chordata; Mammalia; Artiodactyla; Camelidae. RNAcentral also lists the same sequence under 1 other name.